Molecule: ribosomal RNA, 429 nt
Filed under: bacterium
Lineage: Bacteria
Description: partial 16S ribosomal RNA
Rfam family: Bacterial small subunit ribosomal RNA
Source: RNAcentral
UAGGGAAUCUUCGGCAAUGGGGGCAACCCUGACCGAGCAACGCCGCGUGAGUGAAGAAGGUUUUCGGAUCGUAAAGCUCUGUUGUAAGAGAAGAACGUGUGUGAGAGUGGAAAGUUCACACAGUGACGGUAACUUACCAGAAAGUGACGGCUAACUACGUGCCAGCAGCCGCUGUAAUACGUAGGUCCCGAGCGUUGUCCGGAUUUAUUGGGCGUAAAGCGAGCGCAGGCGGUUUAAUAAGUCUGAAGUUAAAGGCAGUGGCUUAACCAUUGUUCGCUUUGGAAACUGUUAAACUUGAGUGCAGAAGGGGAGAGUGGAAUUCCAUGUGUAGCGGUGAAAUGCGUAGAUAUAUGGAGGAACACCGGUGGCGAAAGCGGCUCUCUGGUCUGUAACUGACGCUGAGGCUCGAAAGCGUGGGGAGCAAACAGG